RNAcentral lists this ribosomal RNA (253 nucleotides) under uncultured bacterium. RNAcentral's name for it is "partial 16S ribosomal RNA". It matches the Rfam family "Bacterial small subunit ribosomal RNA", at positions 524 to 776 of the family's 1533-position model. The record is from RNAcentral.
UACGAAGGGGGCGAGCGUUGUUCGGAAUUACUGGGCGUAAAGGGCGCGUAGGCGGCCGAUCAAGUUAGAUGUGAAAGUCCUGGGCUUAACCUGGGGACUGCAUUUGAUACUGAUUGGCUUGAAUUCGGGAGAGGAUAGCGGAAUUCCCAGUGUAGAGGUGAAAUUCGUAGAUAUUAGGAAGAACACCGGUGGCGAAGGCGGCCCACUGGUCCGGUACUGACGCUGAGGUGCGAAAGCGUGGGGAGCAAACAGG